This 1008-nucleotide long non-coding RNA is filed under the name Triticum aestivum (bread wheat). RNAcentral's name for it is "long non-coding RNA (TAES_LNC013728)". Lineage: Eukaryota; Viridiplantae; Streptophyta; Magnoliopsida; Poales; Poaceae. The record is from RNAcentral.
UACUGAUACACAUGAUUCAUUUCCUCAAUAUUGUUCAUCCUCUUUCUUUCAGAUCGUGAAUGAAGAAAGGGCAACAAAAACAUCCAAGGUUCAGCAUCUUCAGUAAGUUGCUCCUGUUCAUUGUGAGUAACUGUGCUCCUUGAUCAAUUUUUGCACCUAGUUUUGCUUCUUGAUCUUCAGAUUUGGUGCCAGUUCCCAUAUACACUACGAGAAACAUCUAACUUGAUGGUUUCGUGUGCUCUUUGUUCCCAUAUAAAAUACAAAAAAUUGUCGUAUACUAUGACUCCUGUAACUUUGUUCUGCUAGGUGAAUGGAGACAACCUUAGAUAUAGUUCAGUAUGCAGUUACACAUGUAUUGAUACAUAUGCUUUAGCUUUUGUUUUACUAAAUGGGCGAAUGGAGUUUUACUAAAACUUGAGAUUAUAGUUGGAUGUGGUACAACCAGUUAUCAGCGUAUAGCUUAUUGUUUUGUUACACAUUGUGGUCCUGCCAUGGCGGGUGUUGCUUGUCUUUAUGGUUGGUAUUAUAUACUCAUAUCCUUCCGCAUAGUACAUGUUUUUCCUGUUGAAAACCUGUAAUUAUGGACAUGAAUGCCUUACUAUAAUUUUACUAUCAUGUAUAUAUUUUGGUGGUGGCAUGCUGUCAAAUUUCGUCUUAAAUAUGUUAAAAUGGCGCUGAAAUUGACCCUUGUGUAUAUGUGUCAUUUGCAGAUGAGAACCGGAGGAAGAAUUUGGACCCUUCGUUGUAGAUGCCUGAGCAAUGAACAUUGGCAUGCUUUUGGGAAUAUGCAAUUUAAGUUGUGUCAUUUUGUUGUGUGGUUUGUACUGAAUUACAUGCUCUGUAUGCUAUCAAUCAGAUUUGUGAGAUCUACCAUGAAUAUGUGAACUUCAUUUGAUUUAUGAAUGAUGGUUGACUUUGGUGCAAAUAGUGUGUUGUUCUCAGAUGUAGAUUUAAUCAUAUUUGUGUGCUGAGAAUUUUGGUCUGAAUUAGAAUUAUUAGUCUGUCAGC